Podarcis lilfordi (Lilford's wall lizard) is the source of this 72-nucleotide non-coding RNA. Lineage: Eukaryota; Metazoa; Chordata; Lepidosauria; Squamata; Lacertidae. The record is from the annotation of a GenBank genome assembly.
GAGGGUCGUAUCUCAGUGCUGAGCAUCUGUCUUGCAUGCAGACGGCCCCAGGUUCAAACCCUGGCAUCCACA